RNAcentral lists this long non-coding RNA (323 nucleotides) under Homo sapiens (human). RNAcentral describes it as "HSALNT0200895". The record is from RNAcentral. Lineage: Eukaryota; Metazoa; Chordata; Mammalia; Primates; Hominidae.
GCCAUUCUCAGCAUAGCUUUUAUUUGAAGCCUCUAGUUUUCACAGUGGAGUGGCUAAAAGAGGUAAGUUCUUUGAGGGUUGUGCAAGAAGGUCACCCACUCCAUAGUGAAUGGUUAUUUGCUGGCUGCUUCUCACACUGUUGCAAUUGUGAUCCUUUUGCAUCUUUGAUUGUCUUUCAUCGGAAAACUAUGACAUGCUUCAUUUUGUUUCCCAGGGUGGUAGCCACAGUCGGCGGUCAGUUGGCGAGCUGGCUACAUUCGAUGGUAUGCAAACAACUCGGUGGCAGCUUAAAGGGUGGGGUAGGCAGUGUGGCCCUCAAUGUG